RNAcentral lists this long non-coding RNA (434 nucleotides) under Cyanistes caeruleus (blue tit). RNAcentral's name for it is "lncRNA (ENSCCEG00000003284.1)". The record is from RNAcentral. Lineage: Eukaryota; Metazoa; Chordata; Aves; Passeriformes; Paridae.
GUGACCCCGACGGAGCCCGAGGGCGGCGCCACCGAAACGUCCCCAAAUGUCCCCAAAACGUCCCCAAAUGUCCCCAAAAUGUCCCCGAAUGUCCCCAAAACGUCCCCGAGUGCCACCUCCCAGUGACACCGGAGCGUCCCCCAAGCGCCACCCAAGUGCCACCCAAAGCGUCCCCAGAUGUCCCCAAGUGCCACCGGCGGCUCUUGAGGCCACCAAGGUGCCACCACCCCCCUCAAAGUCCCUGCAGUGUCCCCAAGGUGCCACCACCGUGUCCCCAAGGUGUCCCCAAGGUGCCACCACCCCCAGUAGUGUCCCCCAAGUGCCACCACCCCAAUGUCACCCUGUCCCCAAAGUGCCACCCCUGAAUGUCCCCAGGUGUCCCCAAGGUGCCACCACGGCAGUGCCACCAAUGUCAAUAAAUGUCCCCGGAGUGC